AGGCGCCUACGGGACGCAGCAGUGAGGAAUAUUGGUCAAUGGACGCAAGUCUGAACCAGCCAUGCCGCGUGCAGGAUGACGGCUCUAUGAGUUGUAAACUGCUUUUGUACGAGGGUAAACCCCGAUACGUGUAUCGGGUUGAAAGUAUCGUACGAAUAAGGAUCGGCUAACUCCGUGCCAGCAGCCGCGGUAAUACGGAGGAUCCGAGCGUUAUCCGGAUUUAUUGGGUUUAAAGGGUGCGUAGUCGUUUUGCUACGGUAG
RNAcentral lists this ribosomal RNA (261 nucleotides) under uncultured bacterium. RNAcentral's name for it is "partial 16S ribosomal RNA". It matches the Rfam family "Bacterial small subunit ribosomal RNA", at positions 333 to 591 of the family's 1533-position model. The record is from RNAcentral.